This 250-nucleotide ribosomal RNA is filed under the name uncultured bacterium. RNAcentral's name for it is "partial 16S ribosomal RNA". It matches the Rfam family "Archaeal small subunit ribosomal RNA", at positions 474 to 723 of the family's 1478-position model. The record is from RNAcentral.
CCCCAGCGCCACGAGUGGUCAUCACGAUUAUUGGGCCUAAAGCGUUCGUAGCCGGUCUGGUAAAUCUCUUGUGAAAUUGUUCGGCUUAACCGGACAGCGUGCAGGAGACACUGCCAGGCUCGAGACCGGGAGGGGUUAGAAGUAUUCCAUGGGGACUGGUAAAAUGGGAUAAUCCAUGGAAGACUACCGAUGGCGAAGGCAUCUAACCAGAACGGAUCUGACGGUGAGGAACGAAAGCCAGGGGAGCGAA